Molecule: ribosomal RNA, 497 nt
Filed under: uncultured bacterium
Lineage: Bacteria
Description: partial 16S ribosomal RNA
Rfam family: Bacterial small subunit ribosomal RNA
Source: RNAcentral
GAUGAACGCUGGCGGCGUGCCUAAUACAUGCAAGUCGAGCGAACAGACGAGGAGCUUGCUCCUCUGACGUUAGCGGCGGACGGGUGAGUAACACGUGGAUAACCUACCUAUAAGACUGGGAUAACUUCGGGAAACCGGAGCUAAUACCGGAUAAUAUAUUGAACCGCAUGGUUCAAUAGUGAAAGACGGUUUUGCUGUCACUUAUAGAUGGAUCCGCGCCGCAUUAGCUAGUUGGUAAGGUGACGGCUUACCAAGGCAACGAUGCGUAGCCGACCUGAGAGGGUGAUCGGCCACACUGGAACUGAGACACGGUCCAGACUCCUACGGGAGGCAGCAGUAGGGAAUCUUCCGCAAUGGGCGAAAGCUUGACGGAGCAACGCCGCGUGAGUGAUGAAGGUCUUCGGAUCGUAAAACUCUGUUAUUAGGGAAGAACAAAUGUGUAAGUAACUAUGCACGUCUUGUCGGUACCUAAUCAGAAAGCCACGGCUAACUACGUG